This 596-nucleotide long non-coding RNA is filed under the name Physcomitrium patens. RNAcentral's name for it is "long non-coding RNA (PPAT_LNC003009)". The record is from RNAcentral. Lineage: Eukaryota; Viridiplantae; Streptophyta; Bryopsida; Funariales; Funariaceae.
CAGUUUAUUUAUUAAAAAAUAAAGCAGUUCGUUUGAUACAAUUGUUGUAUAUACAAAUACAUAUAUUUUUUCAAAAAACCAUAUCUUCUUGUAGAAACAUAUUGAUUUUCUACACAAUGAAUCUACAAAGUUUUGUAUUACACUUUUCAACUUAAUUCGCGCACCAAAGACAUCCCACAUUAACUUUUUCUCUUUUUUUCUUUUUUUCAAAUGUUAUUUUUACCACAAUGAGAUUAAUAAUAUUUUGUAAUGUCAAUAAGCCAUAAUGUGUUGCAGUAUUUUGAUACAUUAAAAAUCUGUGUUUAAAAUAAGGCAUCACUUACAUAGAUUAUGUUACUUUGUGCAUACAUUUAUCAUCAGUGUCUUCCAAUUUGGCCAUUCUCAACGCUAUGUAUUUCUGUUUUUAGCAUGUCUUUUGCAUUUUGAAAUUAGAAUUAUGUGGAUUGACCCUGAGACUAACUCAAACCUCAACUCACCAAAGGCCUGUCCAAUCCCCUUAUAAACAGGAAAGUAACCAAAGUACACCCAAAAAGAACAUACUCUACGGUGUACAAAACGUGUCAUAACCCCUCAUUCAGAAAUGCAAGGUUACACAA